This 586-nucleotide ribosomal RNA is filed under the name uncultured bacterium. Its description in RNAcentral is "bacterial SSU rRNA". It matches the Rfam family "Bacterial small subunit ribosomal RNA", at positions 338 to 916 of the family's 1533-position model. The record is from RNAcentral.
CCUACGGGAGGCAGCAGUGGGGAAUUUUGGACAAUGGGCGCAAGCCUGAUCCAGCAAUGCCGCGUGAGUGAAGAAGGCCUUCGGGUUGUAAAGCUCUUUUGUCAGGGAAGAAACGGCUGAGGUUAAUACCUUCGGCUAAUGACGGUACCUGAAGAAUAAGCACCGGCUAACUACGUGCCAGCAGCCGCGGUAAUACGUAGGGUGCAAGCGUUAAUCGGAAUUACUGGGCGUAAAGCGUGCGCAGGCGGUUUUGUAAGUCUGACGUGAAAUCCCCGGGCUCAACCUGGGAAUUGCGUUGGAGACUGCAAGGCUGGAGUCUGGCAGAGGGGGGUAGAAUUCCACGUGUAGCAGUGAAAUGCGUAGAGAUGUGGAGGAACACCGAUGGCGAAGGCAGCCCCCUGGGUCAAGACUGACGCUCAUGCACGAAAGCGUGGGGAGCAAACAGGAUUAGAUACCCUGGUAGUCCACGCCCUAAACGAUGUCUACUAGUUGUCGGGUCUUAAUUGACUUGGUAACGCAGCUAACGCGUGAAGUAGACCGCCUGGGGAGUACGGUCGCAAGAUUAAAACUCAAAAUGAAUUGACGG